RNAcentral lists this ribosomal RNA (268 nucleotides) under uncultured bacterium. Its description in RNAcentral is "partial 16S ribosomal RNA". It matches the Rfam family "Bacterial small subunit ribosomal RNA", at positions 793 to 1055 of the family's 1533-position model. The record is from RNAcentral.
GUCCACGCCCUAAACGAUGGAUACUAGGCGUAAGAGGUAUUUACCCCUCUUGUGCCGCAGCUAACGCAUUAAGUAUCCCGCCUGGGGAGUACGGCCGCAAGGUUGAAACUCAAAUGAAUUGACGGGACCCCCGCACAAGCGGUGGAGCAUGUGGAUUAAUUCGAUACUAACCGAAGAACCUUACACAGACUUGACAUCGACGGAAAGCCUUAGAAAUAAGGCCCUCUCCCACAAGGAGACCAGAAGACACUUGUUGCAUGGCUGUCGU